Non-coding RNA from Acanthosepion pharaonis, 112 nucleotides. Lineage: Eukaryota; Metazoa; Mollusca; Cephalopoda; Sepiida; Sepiidae. The record is from the annotation of a GenBank genome assembly.
ACGACCAUAUCAUAUUGAAACAACGGUUCUCGUGCGAUAACCGAAGUUAAGCAGCGUCAUUCUUGGUCAGUACCUAGACGGGUAACCGCUUGGGAAUACGACGUGCUGUAAG